CACGAAGCCGGAGUUGCUAGUAAUCGCGAAUCAGAAUGUCGCGGUGAAUGCGUUCCCGGGUCUUGUACACACCGCCCGUCACACCAUGGAAGUUGGGGGUGCCCAAAGCCGGCAAGCAAAUAUGCUGUCUAAGGCAAAACCAAUGACUGGGGUGAAGUCGUAACAAGGUAUC
This 172-nucleotide ribosomal RNA is filed under the name uncultured bacterium. RNAcentral describes it as "partial 16S ribosomal RNA". It matches the Rfam family "Bacterial small subunit ribosomal RNA", at positions 1319 to 1500 of the family's 1533-position model. The record is from RNAcentral.